GGAGACAUGGCCGAGUGGUUAUGGCGUUAGAUUUAGGCUCUAAUGGGUUCGCCCGCGUGGGUUCAAGUCCCACUGUCUUCA
This 81-nucleotide transfer RNA is filed under the name Neolecta irregularis DAH-3. It matches the Rfam family "tRNA". Rfam says of the family: Transfer RNA (tRNA) molecules are approximately 80 nucleotides in length. Their secondary structure includes four short double-helical elements and three loops (D, anti-codon, and T loops). The record is from Rfam by way of RNAcentral. Lineage: Eukaryota; Fungi; Ascomycota; Neolectomycetes; Neolectales; Neolectaceae.